ACUCUCAUGAAAACUGUAAUAAAAGGACGAUUCGCAGACCGUUUUCGUUACUCACAGAAGCUUAAACAUGAAGGUUUUCAUUGCUCUUCUCUUGGUGGCGGUUGCAGCUGCAAGCAGUAUCUCGAGGGAGGACUGCCCACCGAAUAAAGAGUACGGUUCCUUUGGCGAUUGCCCAGCCUCAUGCUAUUCUCUUGAGCACCCAGUGAGGGCUUGCACACUGAAGUUGAACUGGGGCUGCAAGUGCAAGGCCGGUUACGUUCUGAGGGAGGACCAGGUUUUCACUUCAGAUUGUAUCAGACCCGAAGAAUGUCCAUAAGAUGAACUUGAAAUUCUUGAAACACUUCUCUCAUUAUUAUUGGUACCUUAUGUUCAUUUGCAAUGUAACUAAAUUUAUGAUUUAAAUUCCAUUCAAUAAAAGUGUAAAAAUCUGUCA
Molecule: long non-coding RNA, 433 nt
Organism: Argiope bruennichi
Lineage: Eukaryota; Metazoa; Arthropoda; Arachnida; Araneae; Araneidae
Exons: 3
Source: RefSeq, a predicted model, not a curated record